GACGAACGCUGGCGGCGUGCUUAACACAUGCAAGUCGAACGGAAAGGCCCUGCUUUUGUGGGGUGCUCGAGUGGCGAACGGGUGAGUAACACGUGUGUAACCUGCCCUUGUCUUUGGGAUAACUUCAGGAAACUGGGGCUAAUACCGGAUAGGAGCUCCUGCUGCAUGGGGGGGGUUGGAAAGUUUCGGCGGUUGGGGCUAGACUAGAGGGUUACCCGCUGGUUAGUGGGGUUGUGGCUUACGAAGGGUUUGACGGGUAGCCGGCCUGGGAGGGUGGCCGGCCACAUGGGGACUGAGGUACGGCCCAGACUCGAACGGGAGGCAGUAGUGGGGAAUCUUGCACAAUGGGCGGAAGCCUGAUGCAGCGACGCCGCGUGCGGGAUGACGGCCUUCGGGUUGUAAACCGCUUUCGCCUGUGACGAAGCGUGAGUGACGGUAAUGGGUAAAGAAGCACCGGCUAACUACGUG
This 468-nucleotide ribosomal RNA is filed under the name uncultured bacterium. Its description in RNAcentral is "partial 16S ribosomal RNA". It matches the Rfam family "Bacterial small subunit ribosomal RNA", at positions 28 to 507 of the family's 1533-position model. The record is from RNAcentral.